GACGAACGCUGGCGGCGUGCCUAAUACAUGCAAGUAGAACGCUGAAGGAGGAGCUUGCUUCUCUGGAUGAGUUGCGAACGGGUGAGUAACGCGUAGGUAACCUGCCUGGUAGCGGGGGAUAACUAUUGGAAACGAUAGCUAAUACCGCAUAAGAGUAGAUGUUGCAUGACAUUUGCUUAAAAGGUGCAAUUGCAUCACUACCAGAUGGACCUGCGUUGUAUUAGCUAGUUGGUGGGGUAACGGCUCACCAAGGCGACGAUACAUAGCCGACCUGAGAGGGUGAUCGGCCACACUGGGACUGAGACACGGCCCAGACUCCUACGGGAGGCAGCAGUAGGGAAUCUUCGGCAAUGGAGGAAGUCUGACCGAGCAACGCCGCGUGAGUGAAGAAGGUUUUCGGAUCGUAAAGCUCUGUUGUAAGAGAAGAACGAGUGUGAGAGUGGAAAGUUCACACUGUGACGGUAUCUUACCAGAAAGGGACGGCUAACUACGUG
This 494-nucleotide ribosomal RNA is filed under the name uncultured bacterium. RNAcentral describes it as "partial 16S ribosomal RNA". It matches the Rfam family "Bacterial small subunit ribosomal RNA", at positions 28 to 507 of the family's 1533-position model. The record is from RNAcentral.